Molecule: ribosomal RNA, 119 nt
Filed under: Pteropus alecto (black flying fox)
Lineage: Eukaryota; Metazoa; Chordata; Mammalia; Chiroptera; Pteropodidae
Source: RNAcentral
GUCUAUGGCCAUGCCACUCUGAACAAGCCUGAUCCUGUCUGAUCUCGGAAGCUAAGCAGAGUCAGGCCUGGUUAGUAUUUGGAUGGGAAACCACCUAGGAAGACCAGGUGCUGUAGGCG